RNAcentral lists this long non-coding RNA (291 nucleotides) under Phoenix dactylifera (date palm). RNAcentral's name for it is "long non-coding RNA (PDAC_LNC013438)". Lineage: Eukaryota; Viridiplantae; Streptophyta; Magnoliopsida; Arecales; Arecaceae. The record is from RNAcentral.
ACUAGAAAAUUGGAUUUGCUACAGAAUGUUUGCUUUUCAUUCAAAAUGGGGGCUGAUUACAACUUCUCAGAUACAUCAGGGCUACUACUAUUUUAAAGUUCUGUAGCUUUUUUUUUUUUUCACUACUUCUGAGACUACAAUGAGCGACAUAUUUCUAGAAGAUAACUCUGGAACAUCAUUUAAGCUGGUUCAACAAGUUCCAAAGUCUAGGGAAUACAAAGAGUCAUUCAAGCUAGAGAACAUUCAGUCAAAAAUAUCUUCUGCACAAUCUAGAAAAUUACAAAUUACUUC